Molecule: ribosomal RNA, 482 nt
Filed under: uncultured bacterium
Lineage: Bacteria
Description: partial 16S ribosomal RNA
Rfam family: Bacterial small subunit ribosomal RNA
Source: RNAcentral
AUUGAACGCUGGCGGCAUGAUUUACACAUGCAAGUCGAACGGUAACAGGCCGCAAGGUGCUGACGAGUGGCGAACGGGUGAGUAAUGCAUCGGAACGUGCCCAGUCGUGGGGGAUAACUACUCGAAAGAGUAGCUAAUACCGCAUACGAUCUAUGGAUGAAAGCGGGGGACCGUAAGGCCUCGCGCGAUUGGAGCGGCCGAUGUCAGAUUAGGUAGUUGGUGGGGUAAAGGCUCACCAAGCCAACGAUCUGUAGCUGGACUGAGAGGACGACCAGCCACACUGGGACUGAGACACGGCCCAGACUCCUACGGGAGGCAGCAGUGGGGAAUUUUGGACAAUGGGCGCAAGCCUGAUCCAGCAAUGCCGCGUGCAGGAAGAAGGCCUUCGGGUUGUAAACUGCUUUUGUACGGAACGAAACGGCUCUGGUUAAUACCCGGGGCUAAUGACGGUACCGUAAGAAUAAGCACCGGCUAACUACGUG